Molecule: small nucleolar RNA, 71 nt
Organism: Ictidomys tridecemlineatus (thirteen-lined ground squirrel)
Lineage: Eukaryota; Metazoa; Chordata; Mammalia; Rodentia; Sciuridae
Product: small nucleolar RNA, C/D box 49B
Source: Ensembl
UGUUCUGAUGAUACGAAUAAUAGGAAGUGCCGUCAGAAGCGAUAACUGACGAUGUUUAUGCUCGUCUGACC